RNA transcript from Alligator sinensis (Chinese alligator), 2189 nucleotides. It is a transcript of the gene named cytohesin 3, with no coding region annotated. The record is from RefSeq and is a predicted model, not a curated record. The transcript is spliced from 12 exons. NCBI's taxonomy places the organism in Eukaryota, Metazoa, Chordata, Crocodylia, Alligatoridae.
CGUCACUGAAUGCAUUAAUUUUGUCUGUGCUAGAGUUGCUUUAAAAAAAAUUAAUUAAUGUUGGUUGAUCUUUUUUCCUUCCUUCUUUCGGCAGAGGUUAAAAUUUGAAAUAGCAGAGGUUAUGACAGAAAUUAAUAACUUGACAAGUGUGGAAGAAAGCAAAACUACCCAGAGAAAUAAGCAAAUAGCAAUGGGAAGGAAGAAAUUCAAUAUGGACCCGAAGAAGGGAAUCCAGUUCCUGAUAGAAAAUGACCUUCUGCAGAACACUCCAGAGGACAUUGCACAGUUCCUUUAUAAAGGGGAAGGACUAAAUAAAACUGUAAUUGGAGAUUACCUUGGUGAAAGAGAUGAAUUUAAUAUUAAAGUUCUUCAGGCUUUUGUUGAACUCCAUGAGUUCGCUGAUCUCAAUCUUGUACAAGCCUUAAGGCAAUUCCUGUGGAGUUUCAGACUUCCAGGAGAGGCUCAAAAAAUUGAUCGUAUGAUGGAGGCUUUUGCUUCACGCUAUUGCCUUUGUAAUCCUGGAGUCUUCCAGUCUACAGAUACAUGCUAUGUGCUAUCAUUUGCUAUCAUUAUGUUAAAUACCAGUCUACACAACCAUAACGUAAGAGAUAAACCAACAGUGGAAAGGUUUAUAUCUAUGAAUCGUGGCAUUAAUGAAGGAGGAGACCUUCCAGAAGAAUUGCUACGGAAUUUGUAUGAAAGUAUUAAAAAUGAGCCAUUUAAAAUUCCAGAGGAUGAUGGGAAUGACCUGACGCACACAUUUUUCAAUCCAGAUAGAGAAGGUUGGCUGUUGAAAUUAGGAGGGGGAAGAGUGAAAACAUGGAAACGGAGAUGGUUUAUUCUGACUGAUAAUUGCCUGUAUUAUUUUGAAUACACAACAGACAAAGAACCUAGAGGAAUUAUUCCUUUGGAAAACCUUAGCAUAAGAGAAGUUGAAGAUCCUAGGAAACCAAAUUGCUUUGAGCUUUAUAACCCUAGCCACAAAGGUCAAGUAAUUAAAGCCUGUAAAACGGAAGCUGAUGGGAGAGUAGUAGAAGGCAACCACGUUGUGUACAGGAUAUCUGCUCCCACCCCAGAAGAGAAAGAAGAAUGGAUCAAAUCUAUUAAAGCAAGCAUCAGCAGGGAUCCCUUUUAUGAUAUGCUAGCAACAAGGAAAAGAAGAAUUGCUAAUAAAAAAUAACACAGACAAGAGCCACUUAUGGACCUGCAUUUGUCAUUCUAUAAAUGGAUAUAAAACCGUGUGAUAAGUUCCCUUCUUAAUGAUUGCCAUCUAUUUAUUGACUGUUUUGGUCACCACUGCACAUUGAGCUGAUGUUUUUAGAGAACUGUCUACAAUGACUCCAAGGACUCUUUCCUGAGUUGUAACAGCUAAUUCAGAAACCAACAUUGUGUACAUAAAACAGGUUAUUUUUUCCCCACGUGCAUGAUCUUGCACUUGUUGACAUUAAAGUUCAUUUGCCAUUUUUUGCCUUAGCUUGGUGAAAUCUUUCUUCAUCUUAAGUUUUGACUAGCUGGAAUAAUUUGGUAUCAUCUGCAAACUUGGAGAUUUCACUGUGUACCCUUGUUAGCAUAGGGAAUCAUUCUGCAGAGGUAGGAACAUUGCCUAAUGAAUCUUUCCCUCUCUCUGAUUUUGAUUAAAGACAAGGUAAGUCUGCAUCAAGUCUUCCAUCGUAUUAACUUACCUUAGUCUAUAUUGGAUCUGAGAUCAGCAUGUGUGGAGUGUAUGCACAUUUCCUUUUCCAUACUGGCUGAGAGAAAGGAAUGGAGUUAAAACUGAACUGAAUUGACUUUCCCUUUUGUGAUUUUUCACAAUAAAAAAAGAAAAGAAAAAGAUGUGGAGCCCUUGAGGGGGAGAAAUAUGAUGAAGGUCUGUAAAAUUAUGAAUGGCUUGGAAAAAUGGAAAUGGUAUGAAAAAAUGGUGUCUUUUGAUCUAGGACAGGAGCUGGCACUUUUACCAAAGGCAGGGCUGGGUGAUUCAUUCCCCCUCCCCGCGACUUGACUCCUGCUGCCCAGUGUGCUGCCAACAGGUGUAACUGGUAAGUUUUGCAUCCUGGGCAGCAUGGAGGCUGGCAACCCAGUGGUCCCUAUACCCUUUUUGAUCUCAUGUGCCACCCUACCCCUUUGGGAGAUGCACUUGCUGCAGGGGUAGAUGUUGGCACACCCAGCAGCCAGGGGGUUAACGCAGAAUC